ACUUAUAUAGUUUAUAUAAAAACAUUUCAUUUUCAAUGAAAAAAUAAAUAUUUAUUUUAUAAGUA
RNAcentral lists this transfer RNA (65 nucleotides) under Eucorysses grandis. RNAcentral's name for it is "tRNA-Glu". The record is from RNAcentral. Lineage: Eukaryota; Metazoa; Arthropoda; Insecta; Hemiptera; Scutelleridae.